Molecule: transfer RNA, 74 nt
Filed under: Camelus bactrianus (Bactrian camel)
Lineage: Eukaryota; Metazoa; Chordata; Mammalia; Artiodactyla; Camelidae
Also listed under: 2 other names
Rfam family: tRNA
About the family: Transfer RNA (tRNA) molecules are approximately 80 nucleotides in length.
Source: Rfam by way of RNAcentral
GAGGGUAUAAGCUCAAGUGGUAGAGCGCAUGCUUAACAUGCGUGAGGUCCUGGGUUCAAUUCCCAGCACCUCCA